GAGUAACACGUAUCCAACCUGCCGUCUACUCUUGGACAGCCUUCUGAAAGGAAGAUUAAUACAAGAUGGCAUCAUGAGUCCGCAUGUUCACAUGAUUAAAGGUAUUCCGGUAGACGAUGGGGAUGCGUUCCAUUAGAUAGUAGGCGGGGUAACGGCCCACCUAGUCUUCGAUGGAUAGGGGUUCUGAGAGGAAGGUCCCCCACAUUGGAACUGAGGCACGGUCCAA
RNAcentral lists this ribosomal RNA (226 nucleotides) under uncultured bacterium. Its description in RNAcentral is "partial 16S ribosomal RNA". It matches the Rfam family "Bacterial small subunit ribosomal RNA", at positions 108 to 334 of the family's 1533-position model. The record is from RNAcentral.